RNAcentral lists this long non-coding RNA (320 nucleotides) under Castor canadensis (American beaver). RNAcentral's name for it is "lncRNA (ENSCCNG00000012193.1)". The record is from RNAcentral. Lineage: Eukaryota; Metazoa; Chordata; Mammalia; Rodentia; Castoridae.
AGGCCCUGCCUGCUCAAAUCGGACCCAGCACGUCCAGGCUUCUCCGAACCAGCAGUGACAGCUGAGGCCAUGUGAGUCUGAUCCUGAAUGAGGCUUUAUCUCUGGCUGUUCGUCCCAUCAUCCACUGUGGCACCAGCUCCCUCAGCCAGCCGGGAUGGAACAGGAGACUGAAAGAGCCAGAGCCAGAAAGGUGAUGGUAACCAUAGCCUGGACUGAGAGAAGAACGAGACUCUGGGCCUGGAGCUGCCAAGCAGGUGGUGGGGGCACAAGGCCAUGAGCUGUACCCUCUGACCCCUGACACCAACCUUCUGCCCUGACCC